This is a non-coding RNA of Larimichthys crocea (large yellow croaker), 114 nucleotides long. Lineage: Eukaryota; Metazoa; Chordata; Actinopteri; Sciaenidae. The record is from Rfam.
GUGGGUUAUGGGGACAUGCACCCCGUGACAAUCGGGGGAAAGAUUGUGGGGUCUCUGUGCGCCAUCGCCGGUGUGUUGACCAUUGCUUUGCCUGUACCCGUCAUCGUCUCCAAU